RNAcentral lists this ribosomal RNA (253 nucleotides) under uncultured bacterium. RNAcentral describes it as "partial 16S ribosomal RNA". It matches the Rfam family "Bacterial small subunit ribosomal RNA", at positions 524 to 776 of the family's 1533-position model. The record is from RNAcentral.
UACGUAGGGGGCUAGCGUUGUCCGGAAUCAUUGGGCGUAAAGCGCGCGUAGGCGGCCCGGUAAGUCCGCUGUGAAAGUCAAAGGCUCAACCUUUGAAUGUCAGCGGAUACUGCCGGGCUAGAGUCCGGAAGAGGCGAGUGGAACUCCUGGUGUAGCGGUGGAAUGCGCAGAUAUCGGGAGGAACACCAAUGGCGAAGGCAGCUCGCUGGGACGGUACUGACGCUGAGACGCGAAAGCGUGGGGAGCAAACAGG